GGACCCGCACAAGUAGUGGAGCAUGUGGUUUAAUUCGAAGAUACGCGCAGAACCUUACCAACACUUGACAUGUUCGUCGCGACUUUAAGAGAUUAAAGUUUUCGGUUCGGCCGGACGAAACACAGGUGCUGCAUGGCUGUCGUCAGCUCGUGUCGUGAGAUGUUGGUUAAGUCCCGCAACGAGCGCAACCCUUACUUUUAGUUGCCAUCAUUUAGUUGGGCACUCUGAAAGAACUGCCAGUGAUAAGCUGGAGGAAGGUGGGGAUGACGUCAAGUCCUCAUGGCCCUUACGUGUUGGGCUACACACGUGCUACAAUGGCUAAGACAAAGAGUCGCAAGCUUGCAAAAGUUAGCUAA
Molecule: ribosomal RNA, 356 nt
Filed under: uncultured bacterium
Lineage: Bacteria
Description: bacterial SSU rRNA
Rfam family: Bacterial small subunit ribosomal RNA
Source: RNAcentral